RNAcentral lists this ribosomal RNA (503 nucleotides) under uncultured bacterium. RNAcentral describes it as "partial 16S ribosomal RNA". It matches the Rfam family "Bacterial small subunit ribosomal RNA", at positions 30 to 523 of the family's 1533-position model. The record is from RNAcentral.
AUUGAACGCUGGCGGCAGGCUUAACACAUGCAAGUCGAGCGGGGUGAUGGUGCUUGCACUAUCACUUAGCGGCGGACGGGUGAGUAAUGCUUAGGAAUCUGCCUAUUAGUGGGGGACAACAUCUCGAAAGGGAUGCUAAUACCGCAAACGUCCUACGGGAGAAAGCAGGGGAUCACUUGUGACCUUGCGCUAAUAGAUGAGCCUAAGUCGGAUUAGCUAGUUGGUGGGGUAAAGGCCUACCAAGGCGACGAUCUGUAGCGGGUCUGAGAGGAUGAACCGCCACACAGGGAAUGAGACACGGCCCAGACUCCGACGGGAGGCAGCAGUGGGGAAGAUUGGACAAUGGGGGGAACCCUGAUCCAGCCAUGCCGCGUGUGUGAAGAAGGCCUUAUGGUUGUAAAGCACUUUAAGCGAGGAGGAGGCUCUUUUGGUUAAUACCCAAGAUGAGUGGACGUUACUCGCAGAAUAAGCACCGGCUAACUCCGUGCCAGCCGCCGCAGUAA